CAGUCGCCGCGGUAAUACGUAGGGUGCAAGCGUUAAUCGGAAUUACUGGGCGUAAAGCGUGCGCAGGCGGUUUGUUAAGACAGAUGUGAAAUCCCCGGGCUCAACCUGGGAACUGCAUUUGUGACUGGCAAGCUAGAGUAUGGCAGAGGGGGGUGGAAUUCCGCGUGUAGCAGUGAAACGCGUAGAUAUGCGGAGGAACACCGAUGGCGAAGGCAGCCCCCUGGGCCAAUACUGACGCUCAUGCACGAAAGCGUGGGGAGCAAACAGGAUUAGAUACCCGAGUAGUCCCUGUCUCUUAUAC
Molecule: ribosomal RNA, 301 nt
Filed under: uncultured bacterium
Lineage: Bacteria
Description: partial 16S ribosomal RNA
Rfam family: Bacterial small subunit ribosomal RNA
Source: RNAcentral